AUAUCAGUCAUGCAUAGCAUAUCAAUAAGCGGAGGAAAAGAAACUAACAAGGAUUCCCUUAGUAACGGCGAGUGAAGCGGGAAGAGCUCAAAUUUGAAAUCUUCAAGGUUCUACCUUGACGAAUUGUAGUUUAUAGAAGUGUUUUCUGUUAGUAGAGUGGCAAAAGUUCUUUGGAAUAGGACAUCAUAGAGGGUGAGAAUCCCGUAUUUGAUCACUUUCUACUAGCUUUGUGAUACACUUUCAAAGAGUCGGAUUGUUUGGGAAUGCAGUCCAAAGUGGGUGGUGAAUUUCAUCUAAAGCUAAAUAUUGGCGAGAGACCGAUAGCGAACAAGUACCGUGAGGGAAAGAUGAAAAGAACUUUGAAAAGAGAGUUAAACAGUACGUGAAAUUGUCAAAAGGGAAGCGUUUGACACCAGUGUUGUUUUUCCGAAAAUCAAUUACGAAUGUUUUAUUUUUGAGGAGUUAUGACUUCAUCGGCUUGCUCCUUUCUUUACGAAACUUUCUUAAUGCACUUUUCGGUUAACAAGUCAACAUCAAUUUCUUUUGUUGUAAAAGGGUAUGAGGAAGGUGGCUUUCUUUUCGGAGAAAGUGUUUAUAGCCUUGUAGCCUCUGCAAUCGGAGAGAUUGAGGUCUGCAGCGUAGAUCCUUCGGGGUUAGAUACAGUUUGUGCUAAGUUAUAGCUUUUCAUAGACAACUUGUUGACUAUGUUAAGUCUUGUAGCUUACUCGCUUAUGCUAUUUUACCUACGCUUAGGAUGUUGAUCUCUCACAGUCGAGC
This 777-nucleotide ribosomal RNA is filed under the name uncultured Neocallimastigales. Its description in RNAcentral is "partial large subunit ribosomal RNA". It matches the Rfam family "Eukaryotic large subunit ribosomal RNA", at positions 22 to 645 of the family's 3401-position model. The record is from RNAcentral. Lineage: Eukaryota; Fungi; Neocallimastigomycota; Neocallimastigomycetes; Neocallimastigales.